CCCCUAGAAACUCUGAAAUUGUGCUCCAAUCAAAUUGACCAGAAAGUGAUAAUCAGGAACGAAUUCGAACUAAUUCUCAUCACCUUGUAAUGCAUUUUGACCUCCAAUCAGACCAAAAGACAACAAUAUCAUGAUGAAUCUCAGUAAGCUUGCAGCUAAAAGACAAGAAGUCCGCCAGUAGUGAAUGAUUCAUAGAUAAAUAAUAAAUCAUGUUUUCUUAUAUGUCUUACUUUUAUUAUUUUUCUGUUUAAUUUUAUUAUUUUUCAGUUUAAUUGCAAGGAACUCUGCU
This 289-nucleotide long non-coding RNA is filed under the name Phoenix dactylifera (date palm). RNAcentral's name for it is "long non-coding RNA (PDAC_LNC015247)". The record is from RNAcentral. Lineage: Eukaryota; Viridiplantae; Streptophyta; Magnoliopsida; Arecales; Arecaceae.